GUCCCGAAUUUGCCCUCAACUUCCCCCAACUUCCAUUUUCGCAGGGCAUCCACUACAAACUCCGAUCUCAGCUUUCCAAUUUUUGUGAGAACUGUUGGAAACGAUUUUUGUCCUACAAUUUCUCAGCAAUCACAGUACAAAAGCGCUUCCACCACAACAAAACUCGAAAGCUACCGCUGAUCUAGACAGUCUGAGAUAGUUUUGGUGUGAUUGUGCGAAGAUAUCAUCUCAACGCAGCAAAUCUCAAUUUUUCUUCAGGAUGGAUAACAACAGACAGCGAAAACGGAAGGAGACCGAGACUGUUGUUAUUAUGCUCGAGGAUAUCGUCCGUAGAGGGCAAUCAAAAGGGCCUCCUCCUCGCGUUUGGUCCACGAACGGCGAGUUCGGUCGCCCUUCACCUUCUCCAACUUCCCAACAAUUGCUACACCUGCAAAAUACGGCAUCAGUGAAGUAAAUGUACUGAACGACUAUGAGCAUGGAGUUAAAUUAUGCUCGAGGAUAGAAACUCUCGAUUCCAACUGA
Molecule: long non-coding RNA, 522 nt
Organism: Salvia splendens (bonfire salvia)
Lineage: Eukaryota; Viridiplantae; Streptophyta; Magnoliopsida; Lamiales; Lamiaceae
Exons: 4
Source: RefSeq, a predicted model, not a curated record